GCGGAUGUGUUGAAAUUGGUAGCCAAGCUGGAUUUAGAUCCCAGUGCAGAAAUGUGUGAGAGUUCGAGUCUCUCCGUCCGUA
RNAcentral lists this transfer RNA (82 nucleotides) under Picobiliphyte sp. MS584-11. RNAcentral's name for it is "tRNA-Leu". It matches the Rfam family "tRNA". From Rfam's summary of the family: Transfer RNA (tRNA) molecules are approximately 80 nucleotides in length. The record is from RNAcentral. Lineage: Eukaryota; Picozoa.